GGGGGUAUAGCUCAGGGGUAGAGCAUUUCACUGCAGAUCAACAGAUCCCUGGUUCAAAUCCAGGUGCCCCUA
This 72-nucleotide transfer RNA is filed under the name Ceratotherium simum simum (southern white rhinoceros). Its description in RNAcentral is "tRNA-Cys (GCA) (tRNA-Cys-GCA-17-1)". It matches the Rfam family "tRNA". Rfam says of the family: Transfer RNA (tRNA) molecules are approximately 80 nucleotides in length. Lineage: Eukaryota; Metazoa; Chordata; Mammalia; Perissodactyla; Rhinocerotidae. RNAcentral also lists the same sequence under 1 other name. The record is from RNAcentral.